This 26-nucleotide non-coding RNA is filed under the name Homo sapiens (human). The record is from RNAcentral. Lineage: Eukaryota; Metazoa; Chordata; Mammalia; Primates; Hominidae.
UGGAAGAUAAACAUGCUGGAGCUUGC